CUCCAGUUAGUGGAGAAUCCAUUUUCCAUGGUAGAUUGUCAACUAUGAACAAACAAAGAGGCAAACAUCCAUUCUUGCCCCCUAUAAGUAGCUCAUCACACCACACUAAGUUUAUUCUCUACUAGAGAGAGUUGUACGAAACCAUUCAGUUCAACCAAUUUGAGAAGAAUUAUUACACUAUUCGUAAUGAAGAUCAGUGUGAUCAUGCUUGUUGGGAUGAUUUUUAUCAACUUAUGCACCUGCAUGCCAAGAAAUGUGGCAAGCCAUGGAUCUCACGAUGCGCAAUCUGAUGUCUAACACCGAUGGAAGGAACGGGCCUCCGAGCAACGAUCACCAGUGCCCACUUGGGACCUACCCUAAUUGCCAAGGGAUGUCCCAGAACACUCAAGAAGCAGCUGAAGAUGUUGGAGGAAACUAGGGGAAACUGAGAGAUUAUGAGACUGGAAUAAAUUCACUAAGAGAUGUUUAUAUUUCUUUUACUUCCACGUACGGAGUCAUUUGGCAUGAGAUAUGCGCCAUGUUGUAAAUGACAAUCUUAUUUCGUAGCCUGUCCGUAGGACUCAAGAUGCUACACACCAUCAAGUUCUCAGGAAUGUGCCCGUCCUAUCUGCUACUAAUAUACUGGUUGAAUUAUACGGCUACUUA
This is a long non-coding RNA of Triticum aestivum (bread wheat), 645 nucleotides long. RefSeq lists it as uncharacterized. Lineage: Eukaryota; Viridiplantae; Streptophyta; Magnoliopsida; Poales; Poaceae. The transcript has 2 exons. The record is from RefSeq and is a predicted model, not a curated record.